RNAcentral lists this microRNA (20 nucleotides) under Asparagus officinalis (garden asparagus). RNAcentral's name for it is "aof-miR12146". Lineage: Eukaryota; Viridiplantae; Streptophyta; Magnoliopsida; Asparagales; Asparagaceae. The record is from miRBase by way of RNAcentral.
UCUGCAGUAGAUACACACUG